This 1018-nucleotide ribosomal RNA is filed under the name uncultured bacterium. RNAcentral describes it as "bacterial SSU rRNA". It matches the Rfam family "Bacterial small subunit ribosomal RNA", at positions 357 to 1376 of the family's 1533-position model. The record is from RNAcentral.
AGGAAUAUUGGUCAAUGGUCGGCAGACUGAACCAGCCAAGUCGCGUGAGGGAAGACGGCCCUACGGGUUGUAAACCUCUUUUGUCGGAGAGUAAAGUGCGCUACGUGUAGCGUAUUGCAAGUAUCCGAAGAAAAAGCAUCGGCUAACUCCGUGCCAGCAGCCGCGGUAAUACGGAGGAUGCGAGCGUUAUCCGGAUUUAUUGGGUUUAAAGGGUGCGUAGGCGGCACGCCAAGUCAGCGGUGAAAUUUCCGGGCUCAACCCGGACUGUGCCGUUGAAACUGGCGAGCUAGAGUGCACAAGAGGCAGGCGGAAUGCGUGGUGUAGCGGUGAAAUGCAUAGAUAUCACGCAGAACCCCGAUUGCGAAGGCAGCCUGCUAGGGUGCGACAGACGCUGAGGCACGAAAGCGUGGGUAUCGAACAGGAUUAGAUACCCUGGUAGUCCACGCAGUAAACGAUGAAUACUAACUGUUUGCGAUACAAUGUAAGCGGUACAGCGAAAGCGUUAAGUAUUCCACCUGGGGAGUACGCCGGCAACGGUGAAACUCAAAGGAAUUGACGGGGGCCCGCACAAGCGGAGGAACAUGUGGUUUAAUUCGAUGAUACGCGAGGAACCUUACCCGGGCUCAAACGCAGGGGGAAUAUAUAUGAAAGUAUAUAGCUAGCAAUAGUCACCUGCGAGGUGCUGCAUGGUUGUCGUCAGCUCGUGCCGUGAGGUGUCGGCUUAAGUGCCAUAACGAGCGCAACCCCUAUGGACAGUUACUAACGGGUGAAGCCGAGGACUCUGUCUAGACUGCCGGCGCAAGCCGCGAGGAAGGUGGGGAUGACGUCAAAUCAGCACGGCCCUUACGUCCGGGGCGACACACGUGUUACAAUGGCAGGUACAGAAGGCAGCCAGUCAGCAAUGACGCGCGAAUCCCGAAAACCUGUCUCAGUUCGGAUUGGAGUCUGCAACCCGACUCCAUGAAGCUGGAUUCGCUAGUAAUCGCGCAUCAGCCAUGGCGCGGUGAAUACGUUCCCG